AUGACCUUUUCACUUUCUCAAAUGGAGAUGUGGCCUUGGUUUCCUGCACCCUGCUUUAAACUGACAAGGAAGGCAUGCUGGGUAUUUGCUAAUUCCACCUCGUUCCUUUCAUUCCAACCAGAGGUUCCCUGGAGCAUCCAAAGCAGGAGGUGGCACUGUGUGGCUCCAAUCCCAGGCUGGGAUGCAGGCCCCACUCUGAAGACUCAAGAGCUUCCUUCUCUCCAGCAGCUCAACUCCCACCUUGUUUCACAGGGGACUGAGUGGACAAGAAGGAACGGGACAGAGCUGAUGACCCACAGCGGUGAAGCCACAUCCGGCCAGUGGGGCAAAGACUGAGACAGGAGGAUCACUGCAAGUUCAGGCCACAUGGUGAAUUCUAUGUUGUUCUGAGCUACAGAGUGAGACCUCAUGUCCCCAAAGAGGAGGCGGCAGCUGGAAAGAUUGCUCCGUGGUUAGAAGUGUGUACUAUUGGAAAGCCCUGAGUUUAGUUCCUAGCACCCAUGUUAGGUGGCUCACAAACGCCUGUCACUCUAGCUCCAGGAGAUCUGACACCCGUUUUGGCCUCUGCAGGUACCUCCACCCACAUGCACACAUCCAUACAGACAUACACACAUACGAUACUGAAAUUAAAAUUAAU
This 637-nucleotide long non-coding RNA is filed under the name Rattus norvegicus (Norway rat). RNAcentral describes it as "long non-coding RNA NONRATT033268". The record is from RNAcentral. Lineage: Eukaryota; Metazoa; Chordata; Mammalia; Rodentia; Muridae.